UGGUCCCAGCCUUAGGAUCAGUUGUCUCUUAAUAUACACAUGCAAGCCUCCACACCCCUGUGAAAACGCCCUUACAUCCCUCUAAGGGAUAAGGAGCUGGUAUUAGGCACAAAAUUAGCCCAAAAUACCUAGCUACGCCACACCCCCACGGGAACUCAGCAGUGAUUAACAUUGAAAAUAGGCGUCAGCCUGAAUCAGUUAAAGAAGAGUAGAGCCGGCAAAUCUGGUGCCAGCCGCCGCGGUUACACCACGUGGCUCAAACUGAUUCCCUCCGGCGUAAAGCGUGAUUAAAGUUAACUCUAACUGCAAUUAAACCAGAAUUAAGCUGUGACACGCUUAUUCCUAAGAAGCCCAUAGACGAAAGUUAUUGCAUCCCCUAACAACUUGAAUCCACGACAGCUAGGAAACAAACUGGGAUUAGAUACCCCACUAUGCCUAGCCGUAAACUUUUACUUACAUCUCUAUCGCCAGGGAACUACGAGCAAAGCUUAAAACCCAAAGGACUUGACGGUACCCCACAUCCACCUAGAGGAGCCUGUCCUAUAAUCGAUAACCCCCGUUUAACCUCACCAUUUUUAGCCUAUCAGCCUGUAUACCUCCGUCGUCAGCUUACCUCGUGAGCGUAGAUUAGUGAGCUUAAUGCCCCUACGCCAAUACGUCAGGUCAAGGUGCAGCACAUAAAAUGGGAAGAGAUGGGCUACACUAUCUAACAUAGAUUACACGAAAGACUAUAUAUGAAACCUAGUCAGAAGGCGGAUUUAGAAGUAAAGAAAAACCAAAGAGUCUUCUUUAACUUGGCACUGGGGUGUGUACACACCGCCCGUCACCCUCUUCAAAGUCUUAAUCUAGUUUUUGACACUUUUAGACACCAUAGAAGAGGCAAGUCGUAACACGGUAAGUAUACCGGAAGGUGUGCUUGGAAA
This 923-nucleotide non-coding RNA is filed under the name Dendropsophus microcephalus (yellow treefrog). Its description in RNAcentral is "partial 12S ribosomal RNA". It matches the Rfam family "Bacterial small subunit ribosomal RNA". The record is from RNAcentral. Lineage: Eukaryota; Metazoa; Chordata; Amphibia; Anura; Hylidae.